UGGGGAAUAUUGCACAAUGGGCGAAAGCCUGAUGCAGCAACGCCGCGUGAGUGAUGAAGGCCUUCGGGUUGUAAAGCUCUGUCUUUUGGGACGAUAAUGACGGUACCAAAGGAGGAAGCCACGGCUAACUACGUGCCAGCAGCCGCGGUAAUACGUAGGUGGCAAGCGUUGUCCGGAUUUACUGGGCGUAAAGGAUGCGUAGGCGGAUUUUUAAGUGAGAUGUGAAAACCCUAAGCUUAACUUGGGGACUGCAUUUCAUACUGGAAAUCUAGAGUGCGGGAGAGGAGAAUGGAAUUCCUAGUGUAGCGGUGAAAAUGCGUAGAGAUUAGGAAGAACACCAGUGGCGAAGGCGAUUCUCUGGACCGUAACUGACGCUGAGGCAUGAAAGCGUGGGUAGCAAACAGGAUUAGAUACCCUGGUAGUCCACGCCGUAAACGAUGAGUACUAGGUGUAGGAGGUAUCGACCCCUUCUGUGCCGCAGUUAACACAAUAAGUACUCCGCCUGGGAAGUACGAUCGCAAGAUUAAAAACUCAAAGGAAUUGACGGGGGUCAUAGCUGUUUUUCCU
RNAcentral lists this ribosomal RNA (567 nucleotides) under uncultured bacterium. RNAcentral's name for it is "partial 16S ribosomal RNA". It matches the Rfam family "Bacterial small subunit ribosomal RNA", at positions 355 to 940 of the family's 1533-position model. The record is from RNAcentral.